UGUUAAAUAUCAAAAUGAAUGAUAUUUGAAAAAUUGAAAUGUGUUAAUAAAUUAGGUAAAAAUUGGAUGAGAAAAUGAUGAGUAACGCCAGCUUUCGCACAUCACUAACACUUGAAAAGUCACUUCAAUAAUAUUAAUGUUUUGUGGAUUAAUUAUCAUUUUACAAACUAUCUUACUAACAUUCCUUCGUAACCUUGCAAUUUAUAAAUCAGUUUUUGAUUGCAGUUUGUGUUUCAUUAUUUUCACGAAUUCAGUACUACAUGAUAUCGCUUUUUUUAUGAAAAUUUAGCAUCCUUAUGAAUUGAAUGUUAUCCGUUAAAUUUUCCACUUUCACAGGUAAAAUGUUGUUAUGCAAGACUUAAAAAGUACGCAGAGAUAUUUGAAAAUUUUGAAGGUAAGAUAUAGCUUUGCAUCGUUGCUGAUUCCGAUGCAGAGCGAUCGUCCAUUGGAGCUGCUUUUAACCCUCUUUUGCGAUAUCUUAAUCCUCGUUCCAUUGUUGAAAUCGAAGCAGCCUUACGCCUAUCGCGCAAAAUUGUGCGCGGCCGGUCGUCGCGUCUUCGACUGUUUAUGUUUUGUUUUUUUUUUCUUGCUUUGCCGCUCACUGCUGCCCGCUGUGUGUGACUCCCCCAUCUCUUAUCGCAGGAAACCUCAGUCGUCUGUUGCCUUUUUACGCGCGCACGUAUAAUAGGCAGUGCCCAUAACAAAGUGUCGAACUGCGUCGAGUGCAGCAUCAGCAUAAUUUUCUCGUUUCUUUGUGCGUAUUAUUCAUAUAGCGUUUGAUUAAGAAUCCGCAUCUCGAUCGUCUAGGUGCAGAUUAUUAAUCCUCUCUCUGUCUCUCUCUCUCUCUGCGUGUGCCGGGUGUCGAAUUUUGAUCGAGUCGAAGCGCAAAAAAGAAAAUAGAACAGAAGAAUGUCGUCGCCGCUGAGGACGCGUAGCAGCUACGGUCGCGACGACAGCAUCAAGACGUCCAAGGAGCUCGUCGGGAAGUGUCUUCAACUCGCCCAGGAGGCGGAAAAAGUCACCGAGUGUCCGCUGUGCCUCGAGCCGGUCAGGGAGAACGUCCAGUGUCGCACGGGCCACAUCAUCUGCAAGGACUGCCGCCAGAAGGUCGACCAGUGCCCCAGCUGUCGGGGCCCCUACGUCGGCACCAAGUGCUUCCUCGUCGACGAGGUCACGGAGAAACUGGACUCGGUCAAGAUCUCGCUGGAGGACCUCGACAGGUCGCUGAACGAGCCCAACUCCGCCGACCGAGUCCUCGAGUAUCGCAAGCUGAUCAAGUCGCUGCUCGGCGAGCUCGCCGACUUCCUCGGCAAGACGAGCAAGUGCCUGGAGCGCCUCGACGAUUAUGUGCACCGUCGGUCGUGGUCCGCGCAGCAGCAGCCGGAGCAACUCGACGACGAUCUCUUCCCGGCUCUGAUCGAGCAGCUCAACGGCAUACGCAUCCUCAUGACGGGCACGUUGGACGAGCUCGAGACUCUGAAAAAGUGAAGAUUCGUCGAACAUCGACGUCGUCUUUGCGUCGAUUAUUGUACUGCUUGAUCCAAUUAGGUUUCGGCAAUUUGUAUAUAAACACAGCGCGCGACAGUUACUAAGUUUCGCUCGUCUAGCGAGGCACGCGCGCGUCAAUCUCGA
RNA transcript from Trichogramma pretiosum, 1632 nucleotides. It is a transcript of the gene named breast cancer type 1 susceptibility protein homolog, with no coding region annotated. The record is from RefSeq and is a predicted model, not a curated record. The transcript is spliced from 4 exons. NCBI's taxonomy places the organism in Eukaryota, Metazoa, Arthropoda, Insecta, Hymenoptera, Trichogrammatidae.